This 145-nucleotide unclassified non-coding RNA is filed under the name uncultured Ascomycota. Its description in RNAcentral is "sequence contains ITS2". The record is from RNAcentral. Lineage: Eukaryota; Fungi; Ascomycota.
CACCCUCAAGCUUGCUUGGUUAUGGGCGUGCGAGCUAUCGCUGCCUCAAAAUCAGUGGCGGGAGGUCGAGUCUCCAGCGUAGUACUUUCUCGCUCCGAGUCCUCGCCCCUCCUCGCCAGAACCGCUGGCUGCCAGCACACCUCCA